RNAcentral lists this transfer RNA (73 nucleotides) under Caulobacteraceae bacterium. RNAcentral's name for it is "tRNA-Leu". It matches the Rfam family "tRNA". From Rfam's summary of the family: Transfer RNA (tRNA) molecules are approximately 80 nucleotides in length. The record is from RNAcentral. Lineage: Bacteria; Pseudomonadati; Pseudomonadota; Alphaproteobacteria; Caulobacterales; Caulobacteraceae.
GGCAUCGUAGACCAACGGCAGAGUCAAUUGACUCAAAAUCAAUCAAGUGUGGGUUCGAAUCCCACCGAUGCUA